CGCGUAGGCGGCUUCGGAAGUCAUGGGUGAAAGCCCCAGGCUCAACCUGGGAAUUGCCUGUGAAACCACGGAGCUGGAGUGCUGGAGAGGGAAGUGGAAUUCCCAGUGUAGCGGUGAAAUGCGUAGAUAUUGGGAGGAACAUCUGUGGCGAAGGCGGCUUCCUGGACAGACACUGACGCUGAGGCGCGAAAGCCGAGGGGAGCGAAACG
RNAcentral lists this ribosomal RNA (209 nucleotides) under uncultured bacterium. Its description in RNAcentral is "partial 16S ribosomal RNA". It matches the Rfam family "Bacterial small subunit ribosomal RNA", at positions 568 to 775 of the family's 1533-position model. The record is from RNAcentral.